Molecule: transfer RNA, 69 nt
Filed under: Stenocercus varius
Lineage: Eukaryota; Metazoa; Chordata; Lepidosauria; Squamata; Tropiduridae
Description: tRNA-Ala
Source: RNAcentral
CAAGACCUGUGAAAUCCUAAACACAUCUCCUGAAUGCAACUCAAGCACUUUAAUUUAAGCUAAGGCCUC